Molecule: ribosomal RNA, 241 nt
Filed under: Entolomataceae sp.
Lineage: Eukaryota; Fungi; Basidiomycota; Agaricomycetes; Agaricales; Entolomataceae
Description: partial large subunit ribosomal RNA
Source: RNAcentral
AAACGCUUGAAGUCAGUCACGUCGGCUUGAAAUCAGCCUUGCUUUUGCUUGGUGUACUUUCUUGUUGACGGGUCAACAUCAAUUUUGAUCACUGGAGAAAGAUUUGAGGAAUGUGGCACCCUCGGGUGUGUUAUAGCCUCUUGUCAUAUACAGUGGUUGGGAUUGAGGAACUCAGCACGCCGCAAGGCCGGGUUUUUAACCACGUUCGUGCUUAGGAUGUUGGCAUAAUGGCUUUAAUCGA